CGCACAUUGCGCCCUUUGGUAUUCCGAGGGGCAUGCCUGUUCGAGCGUCAUUUAAACCAUCAAGCACCGCUUGGCGUUGGACCUGGGUCUCUAGAAAGCACCCGGUCCGAAACCUAGAGUGGCGGUUCCCGUCGAGCCUCAAGCGUAGCAAGAAUUACUCCCUCGCUUCAAAGGCCUCGGGUGGGACCGGCCCCGAAAAUCACCCCUAAAGUUUGACCUCGGAUCAGGUAGGGAUACCCGCUGAACUUAA
This 250-nucleotide unclassified non-coding RNA is filed under the name fungal sp. RNAcentral describes it as "partial contains 5.8S ribosomal RNA, internal transcribed spacer 2, and large subunit ribosomal RNA". The record is from RNAcentral. Lineage: Eukaryota; Fungi.